GCAUAUCAUCAUAAGACCAUGCAAAAGCAUCCUUAUAAUCAAUUAAUGCUUGAAUCAUUCCAUCUUUUAGCUGUGGAAAAGCAUGUACACUGAUUUUAGUUUCCCUAACAUCUUCUUGAUUCCCUAGAUUUAUUGGCUCAGUCUCAUUCAAAUUAGGAUUCGGUUUUUCUUCAAACUGUUCCAACUCUUUGCUUAUUUCUUCU
This 203-nucleotide long non-coding RNA is filed under the name Capsicum annuum. RNAcentral describes it as "long non-coding RNA (CANN_LNC006160)". Lineage: Eukaryota; Viridiplantae; Streptophyta; Magnoliopsida; Solanales; Solanaceae. The record is from RNAcentral.